GUGAAUCAUCAAAUUUUUGAACGCAUAUUGCACUCUCUGGUAUUCCGGAGAGUAUGCCUGUUUGAGGGUAAUUAAAAAGAAUAUUUAACCAAUUUUUUUUGGUCAAAGGACAUGAGCUCUCCGCGUUUAUAACGGUCGCUUAAAAUAAAUGGUCAAGUCUCAUUUCAGUCGAGACGCGUACUAAUAUUAUUUCGCGAAAUCUUCAUUAUGUGACUAUCCUGUUUUAAUGCUUAC
Molecule: unclassified non-coding RNA, 234 nt
Filed under: Ambisporaceae sp.
Lineage: Eukaryota; Fungi; Glomeromycota; Glomeromycetes; Archaeosporales; Ambisporaceae
Description: partial contains 5.8S ribosomal RNA and internal transcribed spacer 2
Rfam family: 5.8S ribosomal RNA (bases 1-71)
Source: RNAcentral